RNAcentral lists this long non-coding RNA (1113 nucleotides) under Apteryx haastii (Great spotted kiwi). RNAcentral's name for it is "lncRNA (ENSAHAG00000009261.1)". The record is from RNAcentral. Lineage: Eukaryota; Metazoa; Chordata; Aves; Apterygiformes; Apterygidae.
AUGGUGGAGUUCAGGAUCCUGCGAGGAGGAGGCAGGGCACUGAGGAGGAUCGCAACCCUAGACUUCAGGAGAGCAAAUUUUGGCCUCUUCAGGGACCUACUUGGAGGAAUCCCAUGGGUUAGGGCCCUAGAAGGAAGGGGCGUUCAAGAGAGCUGGUUAAUGUUCAAACAUCACCUCCUCCAGGCUCAAGAGCGGUGCAUCCCUAUGAGUAGGAAGUCAAGCAAAGGAGGCAGGAGAGCUGCAUGGAUGAGCAAGGAGCUCCUGGCAAAACUCAACCAGAAGAAGGAAGUCUACAGAAAGUGGAAAGGGGGACAGGCCACUUGGGAGGAAUAUAGGAACGUUGUCAGAGUAUGCAGGGAUGCGACGAGGAAGGCUAAGGCCCGUGUGGAAUUAAAUCUAGCAAGGGAUGUCAAGGACAGCAAGAAGGGCUUCUUCAAAGACAUCAGCAGCAAGAGGAAGACUAGGGAAAAUGUGGGCCCUUUGCUGAAUGGGGUGGGUGCCCUGGUGACGAAGGAUGCAGAGAAGGCAGAGUUACUGAAUGCCUUCUUUGCUUCAGUCUUUACUGCUCAGGCCAGCCCUCAAGAACCCCAGACCCUGGAGACAAGAGAGAAAGUCUGGAGGAAGGAAGACUUUCCCUUGGUGGAGGAGGAGUGGGUUAGAGAUCAUUUAAGCAAACUUGACACCCACAAAUCCAUGGGCCCUGAUGGGAUGCACCCACGAGUGCUGAGGGAGCUGGCAGAUGUUAUUGCUAGGCCACUCUCCAUCAUCUUUGAGAGGUCAUGGAGAAGAGGAGAGGUGCCUGAGGACUGGAAGAAAGCCAGUGUCACCCCAGUCUUCAAAAAGGGCAAGAAGGAGGACCCGGGAAAGUACAGGCCACUCAGCCUCACCUGCAUCCCUGGAAAGGUGAUGGAGCAGCUCAUCCUGGAGGCCAUCUCCAAGCAUGUGGAGGAAAAGAAGGUGAUCAGGAGUAGUCAGCAUGGCUUCACCAAGGGGAAAUCAUGCCUAACCAAUCUGAUAGCCUUCUAUGAUGGAAUGACUGGCUGGGUAGAUGAGGGGAGAGCAGUGGAUGUUGUGUACCUUGACUUCAGCAAGGCUUUCGACACUCUUCCAUAA